ACCAUAGAGCGUUGGAACCACCUGAUCCCAUCCCGAACUCAGUAGUGAAACGAUGCAUCGCCGAUGGUAGUGUGGGGUUUCCCCAUGUGAGAGUAGGUCAUCGUCAAGA
Molecule: ribosomal RNA, 109 nt
Filed under: Pseudomonas syringae
Lineage: Bacteria; Pseudomonadati; Pseudomonadota; Gammaproteobacteria; Pseudomonadales; Pseudomonadaceae
Source: RNAcentral